This 152-nucleotide small nuclear RNA is filed under the name Microtus ochrogaster (prairie vole). Its description in RNAcentral is "U1 spliceosomal RNA (ENSMOCG00000010960.1)". It matches the Rfam family "U1 spliceosomal RNA". From Rfam's summary of the family: U1 is a small nuclear RNA (snRNA) component of the spliceosome (involved in pre-mRNA splicing). Its 5' end forms complementary base pairs with the 5' splice junction, thus defining the 5' donor site of an intron. There are significant differences in sequence and secondary structure between metazoan and yeast U1 snRNAs, the latter being much longer (568 nucleotides as compared to 164 nucleotides in human). Lineage: Eukaryota; Metazoa; Chordata; Mammalia; Rodentia; Cricetidae. The record is from RNAcentral.
UUCUUUAUAUGGUAGGAAGGAUACUAUGAUCAGGAAGGUUUUCUCAAGGCAAUCCUCCUCCAUUGUCCUUGGGAUGUGCUGACCCUUGCAAUUUUCUCAAAUGUUGAAAACUUAAAUUGCAUAAUCUGUAGUAGGAAAAAACUGACUCCUAA